CCAGCGCUACCAACUCCUUUUUGCGGCCUGUACACUUAAAAUUUCGCUUUCUCGUGUAUUCUUUAAGUGCAUGAACCUACCAGGUCUCUGUCACAUCGUAUGAAAUAUCCUCCAUCCUUAAAAUAACCGUAAAAUCGGCGUUUUUCGCACUUUGGUCAGAAAAAUCACAUACAAAGCAAUGGCGGCCUCCUCGUGAGUUUGCUCACGGAUCUCCCACAAUACAACAGCGAGACGCCAUUUUUUGGGAAUGGGUAAUUCAUGUAUAUUACUUUUCCUUCAGCUGCUCAUGUCCCUAUCGUCGUGUUUAGAACUUACAGGUCUUGCCUUUACAUUAGUUUAUUGACGUCUGUAAGACAUGGCUAAUAAAAGGCUCCGCGUAUACCUAGUAAUUGGAAGAAAGGUGAGUUAUUAGGUAAGGGCGGAUUUGGUGAGGUAUAUAAAUGUUAUGACAUGGAUACAGGUCGGGAAUACAGUGUUAAAAUGAUUCAACUUGGUAAUUUAAAUGAUGAAACCGAAAUGGACGUGCUAGCCUUAGAUGGAUUACAUCUGCUGAAGAGUCUUCAACAUGAGAGGAUUGCUCAAUAUUAUGGAUGUCAGAGGGAUGAUAAAGUAUUAUCAAUAUUUAUGGAAUAUAUGCCUGGUGUAAGUACUUUAUUAUUAUCCAGCACCCAAUAACGUUCGACAGGGAUAUUGAGAUCGGCCUCGUCCUUCCACCUGUCUGUUCUAGUUUUGUUUCAGUUUUUUUUGUUUGAUAGAGUAUUAUUUGACUUAGUCGACUUCGUCUGCUUGUUAAUUUUUGAGCAGUAAAAAGAAAACAUCAUCCUUGUAAGAUCUCUACAGCCAUAUUAUAGAAAUUAUUAAUUAGACCUUUAUUUAUAUAACAAGCCCACGAUUAACCCUGUAGACCCUCGGAUGACUUGGCUACAGCUUGGAUUUAAACAGUCGUCCAACUUGAUAAUCGAGAAUAUGUAGGCGGAGUUAUCGUCUGACAAUCAAACGAUCGGCAAUUCUCGGAUCCUUGCAUAGACAGUUGAUGCCAAUUUCUAGCCCAAACUUCCAGCAGUGAUAAUUUCAUUCAGAAUAAAGUAAUUUGAUUGA
Molecule: long non-coding RNA, 1098 nt
Organism: Patella vulgata (common limpet)
Lineage: Eukaryota; Metazoa; Mollusca; Gastropoda; Patellidae
Exons: 3
Source: RefSeq, a predicted model, not a curated record